GAUUUGUUUUCCUAUCUGAGAGUAUCUUUGCUUUCAGUGUCCCUUUAAGGUUUGAGAUGCGCCUCUUUUAGCAGGAAACAGACCACCUUUGGGGCGCAGCAAGUACUUCUGGCACACUUUUCUCCUGAAUCCUUUCAUUCCUAAAUGUGGUGCACCCCCCACCCACCCAUUUUUCCCACAGCUUCCUUUUUUUUUUUCCUAGUUGAAAGCCAUAUUUAUUUGGCCUGUGCAAAUUCCAGGAAGUUAUCCCUCUGCUUCCAAUUUGUGGGACUUAGAGAUCGAACUCAGAUGGUCAUUCUUGGCUUUAAGUGCUGAGGCAUCUAGCUAGACAGUCCGUGUCGUGUCCCCCCCCCCCCCCCCCGCCCCCCCAAGGGUUUCUCUGUGUAGCCCUGGCUGUCCUGGAACUCACUCUGUAGACCAGGCUGACUUGGAACUCAGAAAUCCGCCUGCCUCUGCCUCCCAAGUGCUGGGAUUAAAGGCAUGCGCCACCACGCCAGGCUGUCUCUUUCUCUCUUUCUUUUUUCUUUUUCUUUCUCCCUCUUUGUUUGUUUUUCUUUGUAGCUUUUCUGCCAUCAAGAUAGUUUCAGUCUUAAGUUCCCUUCCCUCUUUGGAACCUCAUUCCCUAAUGUGCUCUCCCGGGCUCUUGGGCCUUCCUUCCUGUGUUGAGUGCAUAGCUGCAAAACACUUCGUCUGUGGCCUCUUCUUUUUUAUUCCUCAGGGCAGUUCUUAUAGUUACCCCACCCUGAGCUGUUCUUCCCUGAUAGGAUGCCCUUUCAUGCACAUGGCUUUUAUUUGUCGGUUGUGAGGUUGUCUCCCUGGGUAGCUCAGGUUAUCCUGGAACUUCCUAGGUGGCUCAGGUUGGCUUUGAAACCCCCUGCCUCUGCCUUACAAGUGCCAGGGCACAGGCAAGAACUUCCAUGUCUGGUUCACAUGACUUUUUAUAGGUAGUUUAUUUUUUUGCAAACAGGAAUUCUCUUUUGGUUCAUGGCCUGUCCAGACAUUUUUCUAGUUUCUGGUUCCUCGUGGACAGUGUUCUGGUUACCUAGUGAUGACAGUUCUCCUCCUUGAUCGUUCUCCUCGAGAAUCCCCUAGUAAUUUGUGGUUAUCUUGGAGCUCCUACUCCUUUGCUGCUUUACUCUCUGUGAGUCUCUGGUGAAGCCCUCCUCCGUGGGUUUUUGUGGGUCUGGUCUCAGCAAUCUCGGCAGGAGGAUUUUUUUUUUUAAGAUUUAUUUAUUUUUAUUAUAUGUAAGUACACUGUAGCUGUCUUCAAACACUCCAGAAGAGGGAGUCAGAUCUCAUUACGGAUGGUUGUGAGCCACCAUGUGGUUGCUGGGAUUUGAACUUCAGACCUUUGGAAGAGCAGUUGGGUACUCUUACCAACUGAACCAUCUCACCAGCCCGAGGAUUGUUACAGACUUGAGGACUGCCUGGACUACAGGAUGAGUUCGAGACUAGCUAGGGAUGCAUCUCAAACAAUCUGCUUAGUUGGUUCUAAGGCUCUUAGGUUCUGCUCCUCCCCACACAUCCUCCUCCCUCUCCUUUUCCUUUUUCCUUUUUUACAUUUUUAUUUUUUGAGUUAGGAUUUCUCUGUGUAGCCUGACACUCCGGCUUUCCUGGAACUAGCUCUGUAAAUUAGGCUGACCUCAAACUCAACAGAGAUUCGGCUUUCUCUGCCUUCUUAGUGCUGAUAUUAAAGGCCCACCACUGCUGGCUGACUCCUUGUAAUCUCCCUGUUCUCUGGGUUAGGGCUUCACGGACCUUUCUAGUAAUGUAUGCUUUCUAGACCAUAAACUACCUUCCAUUAGUUCUUUUGAUCAAGAAAAGAAGUCAUUUGGGCUGAAAGAUGGAGUUCAGUGAUGGUGUACUUGGCCUAGCAACUUAUGGAGGGCCUGGGCUUGAUUUUCAGCAUGAAAAACAGUGUGUUGUAGCCAGGUGUGGUGGAGCACAAUUUUGAUCUCAGCACUUGGGAAACAGGCAGGUGGGAUUUCUGUGACUUCCUGGUCAGCCAGGGCUACAUAGAGAAACCCUGCCUGGAAAACCAAACCUGUUAAAAAAAAAACAAAAACAAAAACAAAAACAAACCAACAAACAAAUCUCUAUCUGGGAUAUCUUGUCUCUCUGGAGCCUACCUCUGUAGGUCCUCUAGUUUCUCUCUUCUCUAGAUUUUUACAUAGUGCUUCCGGCCUCUGAUUCAUUUCCCCACAGCUGGAGUUUCAAAUGCUUAGGGGAUAAUGAGUCCUCUGACCUUUCUUCCUUUUGGGAAGUACUUGAACUUGCAGCUGCAGGAGGCAGGAGGGAGGGGGAGGGGUUGGGAUCUGGGAAGCUUUACCAGUAAGGACAGGGCAGGAAUAGAGACAGCAUCUCAGACCAAGUUCUGAAUCUCAUUUAGAAACUGGACGUUUGCCAAGCACCAGCUUGCUUGGGGUGCUGGGGGACUUGGUGGUACCCCGGGAGCCUGUAGGAAUUAAUGGGACUUGUAGGGAAGGAAGUGCUCCAAACUUAGUGAGAAAACCUGAAUAAAAUUGCCCAUUAUUGUGGUUUUGGAACAGCUAAGCGCUUCACAUUUUUUGACCACUGAAGUCUUAGAAUUUAGUUGUGUUAUUUCAAAGGGAAAUAAGUCCCAUGUUCAUUAUUAGUAAGUGCUACAUUUCUUUAAAAAAAAGCUGGAGGCCUGUCUGAGUAGCACCUAAUAAAACCUGGUCUGUGGAAGUG
RNAcentral lists this long non-coding RNA (2712 nucleotides) under Mus musculus (house mouse). RNAcentral describes it as "long non-coding RNA chr2:156197835-156200547". Lineage: Eukaryota; Metazoa; Chordata; Mammalia; Rodentia; Muridae. The record is from RNAcentral.